RNAcentral lists this ribosomal RNA (460 nucleotides) under uncultured bacterium. Its description in RNAcentral is "partial 16S ribosomal RNA". It matches the Rfam family "Bacterial small subunit ribosomal RNA", at positions 338 to 795 of the family's 1533-position model. The record is from RNAcentral.
CCUACGGGAGGCUGCAGUGAGGAAUAUUGGUCAAUGGGCGCGAGCCUGAACCAGCCAAGUCGCGUGAGGGAAGACGGUCCUAUGGAUUGUAAACCUCUUUUGUCGGGGAGCAAAAUACGCCACGCGUGGCGUUCCGAGAGUACCCGAAGAAAAAGCAUCGGCUAACUCCGUGCCAGCAGCCGCGGUAAUACGGAGGAUGCGAGCGUUAUCCGGAUUCACUGGGUGUAAAGGGAGCGUAGACGGCCAGGCAAGCCUGGAGUGAAAGCCCGGGGCCCAACCCCGGGACUGCUCUGGGAACUGUCCGGCUGGAGUGCGGGAGGGGCAGGCGGAAUUCCUGGUGUAGCGGUGAAAUGCGUAGAUAUCAGGAGGAACACCGGCGGCGAAGGCGGCCUGCUGGACCGCGACUGACGUUGAGGCUCGAAAGCGUGGGGAGCGAACAGGAUUAGAUACCCCGGUAGUC